RNAcentral lists this ribosomal RNA (253 nucleotides) under uncultured bacterium. RNAcentral describes it as "partial 16S ribosomal RNA". It matches the Rfam family "Bacterial small subunit ribosomal RNA", at positions 524 to 776 of the family's 1533-position model. The record is from RNAcentral.
UACAGAGGUCCCAAGCGUUGUUCGGAUUCACUGGGCGUAAAGGGUGCGUAGGCGGUCGGGUAAGUCUGAUGUGAAAUCUCCAAGCUUAACUUGGAAAUGGCAUCGGAUACUAUUCGGCUCGAGGAAUGGAGGGGAGACUGGAAUACUUGGUGUAGCAGUGAAAUGCGUAGAUAUCAAGAGGAACACCAGUGGCGAAGGCGAGUCCCUGGACAACUUCUGACGCUGAGGCGCGAAAGCUAGGGGAGCAAACGGG